UAGCUAAACGUGUGAAAGUAUAGUUAAUAUUCUCUCCAUUUUUAAUAUAUGAUAUUUUAGGAAGUUUUUUUGUUUUUGGAAAUUUUUGAUGUUUCAAUAUAUAAGAUAUUUUUAUUUUUCUAUGUAAUUUUUAACUGUAUUAAAAAUUGAAUAUUCAAUAGUAUUUUAUUCUAUAUUUUGUAAUGGGUUAAAUAGUUUUUAUAGUUUCCAAUACUUCUUUUGCGGUUUCAAGGUUUCCAACUUGUAGUAUCACAAGUACCAUGAUCGAAACCUGGCUCUGAAGCCUAUGAUACCAAUUAUUGAAUCAAAUACUAAAACUCAACUUUUAUUGCUUUAGAAAAUCACUCAAA
This 350-nucleotide long non-coding RNA is filed under the name Brassica napus (rape). RNAcentral's name for it is "long non-coding RNA (BNAP_LNC024905)". Lineage: Eukaryota; Viridiplantae; Streptophyta; Magnoliopsida; Brassicales; Brassicaceae. The record is from RNAcentral.